Drosophila busckii is the source of this 920-nucleotide long non-coding RNA. RefSeq lists it as uncharacterized. The transcript has 3 exons. NCBI's taxonomy places the organism in Eukaryota, Metazoa, Arthropoda, Insecta, Diptera, Drosophilidae. The record is from RefSeq and is a predicted model, not a curated record.
UUAUUGAACGAAAAAUUAAUUUUUCCCAGCUGAAAUUGAAAAUUUUGCUCGUGUGAAUAACAUUAGAUAUUUGUGUUAGAGUUUUGGGGAAAAAUCAGCUCCCUAGAUCUUAUCGGCUCGUCUAUACAGCGAUCACGCAUCACGCGACAGGACAAAUAUAUAUGCUGUUAGUUGUAUUUGCUGUGACGAAGUCGGACUGAAUCCGUGUGAACUUCAUACAAGCGUGGUUUCGUAACGUUGCUAGUGUUUGAAAAUACCAAAGUGUCAUCGAAUAACAACUUCAAGUUAGCUGAAAUUAAUUAUAACUUAAAGUUAACUUCAAAGUCUCUCUUGAAUUUUAAUAACAACGUCAAGUUGGCAGCAAUGUCACAGAAGCAACACGUAAGCGGAAACUCGCUACACUUCAUCAGUGGUCGGUACAUAGCAAAUUAAAACAAGUGAAAAAUGGCUGCCCGUAAUCUAAAAGACAUUGUUCUCACUGAGGAAACGGUGUCGACCCCGACAUUUGUACGUACAUAUUUCUUUUAUAAAUAUAUUUAUAUACGUACAUAUUUGUUCAUACAAUUUUAACAAUGAACCGGAUGAAGCUUCAACUUAAAAAUAGUAGCGCGAAAGCUUGCAUUGAGAAAUUGCACGAGCCCCAAACAACGCAAGCUAAAUUUCCAAACCAAAGUCUUUACAAACCUGUUGUAAAAAGUGAAAACGUAGAAACUGGAAAAACUUCACUUCAAACUGCAAUCGUAUCUCAAUUAUAGAGUUCAUUUACGCUUUUCGGACUUUGCUCAAUAAAAAUUGUCUCUACAUGGUUGUACACAUACAUACAUAUGUAAUUUAAUUUGGCAUAGUCAGGCGAAGUUUCGCUGUUUGUGGCUUUUCAAUGUCGUGGAGAAAGGUGACUUUGCCAACAACAAUGUUAUUCA